This 65-nucleotide transfer RNA is filed under the name Peromyscus pectoralis (white-ankled mouse). Its description in RNAcentral is "tRNA-Trp". The record is from RNAcentral. Lineage: Eukaryota; Metazoa; Chordata; Mammalia; Rodentia; Cricetidae.
GGAGUUUAGGAUAAAAAGUCCAAGAGCCUUCAAAGCUCUAAGUAAACCAAAAAGUUUAACUCCUG